Molecule: non-coding RNA, 80 nt
Filed under: Prunus dulcis (almond)
Lineage: Eukaryota; Viridiplantae; Streptophyta; Magnoliopsida; Rosales; Rosaceae
Source: RNAcentral
AGGAGCCGAAUGAAACCAAAGUUUCACGUUCAGUUUUGAAUUAGAGACGUUAAAAAUGAUGAAUCAACGUCGACUAUAAC